UACGUAGGGACCGAGCGUUGUCCGGAAUCAUUGGGCGUAAAGAGCGUGUAGGCGGCCACUUAAGUCCUGCGUGAAAUCUUGCGGCUCAGCCGCAAGCGGUCGUGGGAAACUGGGUGGCUAGAGUGCGGGAGAGGAGAGUGGAAUUCCUGGUGUAGCGGUGGAAUGCGCAGAUAUCAGGAAGAACACCCGUGGCGAGGGCGGCUCUCUGGAGCGCAACUGACGCUGAGACGCGAAAGCGUGGGGAGCAAACAGG
RNAcentral lists this ribosomal RNA (253 nucleotides) under uncultured bacterium. RNAcentral's name for it is "partial 16S ribosomal RNA". It matches the Rfam family "Bacterial small subunit ribosomal RNA", at positions 524 to 776 of the family's 1533-position model. The record is from RNAcentral.